UAUUGGAUCCUCUGGAGCUAGAGAGUUCUAGGUGAUUGUGAGCCACCCAAUGUGGGAGCCGGAAUGGAACUCAAGUCUCCUGAGAGAGCAGUACUUGCUGUACACCACUGAGCUACCUCUCUAGCCCCAAACUCUAUAGUUCGUUAAAGAAAGCAUCUGUCAGCGCCUGCUUUACCUCAUAAAAAAAGUUCUGUGGCAAGAUAUGGCCAGUGUCAAAAAGGCAGUGGCUGUGGGCUGAGCUGGUAGAGCGUUUGCUUAAUAUGACCUCAGGGUUCCAUCGCCAGCACCACACAAGCCAAAGGCGGUGGCCCCAUCUCAGCCUAGCACUUGGGAGACGGAGGCAGGAGAAUCCAGGAGGUCAAAGUCGUCUCAGUCCUAUCCGAGGGGAAGCAGGCAUCAUGAGCACUGAGACAGGAAGAGAAGGAAGCAAGAGGGGGCCUCAGAUACAAAGACUCAGGAAACAGGGCGUCUACAGGUGCUCCAAGUUGUGUGCAUUAAAAUAGCAUACCACACACCCUGUACACACUGGCUUGAUUGAAUUAUUUGAAAUCCAGAAAUCUCUCCUAGAGAUGACCAUUGGCAGAUGUGCAUUUUAAAAGAGCCGUCUCUAGGCGGGGCCGUGGCCCUGCGUUCACUGCCCAGGCAGCCAUGGGUUUCCUGGUUACCUCCUUG
Mesocricetus auratus (golden hamster) is the source of this 672-nucleotide long non-coding RNA. RefSeq lists it as uncharacterized. The transcript is spliced from 3 exons. Lineage: Eukaryota; Metazoa; Chordata; Mammalia; Rodentia; Cricetidae. The record is from RefSeq and is a predicted model, not a curated record.